AGUGAGGGCACGGGGUCAGCAGGUGGGGGAGCCCCACCCCAUCCCUCCUCCUCCCUCCCCAGCCAUUGUGACUCGGGUCUGCCCCACCUCUCCAUAGUGUUUGCCAAGCACGUGCUGUCGGGCACCCAUGAGACCCAGCGAGCACCUCCUAUGAGCCGGGCACUGUGCUGCGUCCCCGUGUGGCCUCUCACUGUCACAAACUUCCUAGGCCCAUCCUAUUCAUUACUAUUCUCUUUUGUAAACAAGGAAACUGAGGCCCAGGAGGCUCAGACACCCUGCCUGGGCCAAGGGACGGGUCUUCUCCUUACCUUGGAAGGAGGUGAUGAUGCUGAAAAGGUAGAGGACGACAAGCUGGAAGGUGCCAGAAGCAAAGGAGAAGAAGAUCAAGGCCCAGGGCAGGCCAAGGACCAGGCUGA
Molecule: long non-coding RNA, 416 nt
Filed under: Homo sapiens (human)
Lineage: Eukaryota; Metazoa; Chordata; Mammalia; Primates; Hominidae
Description: HSALNT0386359
Source: RNAcentral